This 1389-nucleotide ribosomal RNA is filed under the name uncultured bacterium. RNAcentral's name for it is "bacterial SSU rRNA". It matches the Rfam family "Bacterial small subunit ribosomal RNA". The record is from RNAcentral.
AGUGAACGCUAGCGGUGCGCCUAACACAUACAAGUCGCGCGAACCUUCGGGUUAGCGGCGAACGGCUGCGUAACACGUUGGAACCUGCCCCAGAUUCAGGGAUAACUCGCCGAAAGGCGGGCUAAUACCGGAUGGUCUCGCAAGAGUAAAGCUUCGGCGAUCUGGGAGGGGCCUGCGGCCUAUCAGCUUGUUGGUAAGGUAACGGCUUACCAAGGCUAUGACGGGUAACUGGUCUGAGAGGACGACCAGUCAGAAUGGGACUGAGACACGGCCCAUACUCCUACGGGAGGCAGCAGUGAGGAAUCUUCCGCAAUGGGCGAAAGCCUGACGGAGCGACACCGCGUGAAGGAUGACACCCCUUGGGGCGUAAACUUCUGUUCUGAGGGACGAAAUUUUUGACGGUACCUCAGGAGAAAGCACCGGCUAAUUCCGUGCCAGCAGCCGCGGUAAGACGGAAGGUGCAAGCGUUACUCGGAAUCACUGGGCGUAAAGCGUCCGCAGGCGUCUUCUUAAGUCCCCCAUUAAAACGCAGAGCUCAACUCUGCGGUGUGUGGGAAACUGAGAAGAUUGAGUCAUGCAGAGGCAUCCGGAAUGCCAUGUGUAGGGGUAAUAUCCGUUGAUCCAUGGUAGAACGCCAAAAGCGAAGGCAGGAUGCUUGGCAUGUACUGACGCUCAGGGACGAAAGCGUGGGGAGCGAAGGGGAUUAGAUACCCCCGUAGUCCACGCCCUAAACGAUGCGUGCUCGGUGUUGGGAUUUUCAAUCUAUCUCAGUGCCUCAGCUAACGCGGUAAGCACGCCGCCUGAGUAGUACGGCCGCAAGGCUAAAACUUAAAGGAAUAGACGGGGACCCACACAAGCGGUGGAGCAUGGGGUUUAAUUCGAUGAUAAGCGGAGCACCUCACCCAGGUUUGACAUCCCGAGAACUCUUCCGAGAGGAAGAAGUGCCGCAAGGAACUCGGUGACAGGUGGUGCACGGUCGUCGUCAGCUCGUGCCUUGAGGUGUACUGUUAAGUCAGCAAACGAGCGCAACCCUCAUCCUAUGUUGCUUUUUCAUAGGAGACUGCCGCCUCCAAGGCGGAGGAAGGUGAGGACGACGUCAGAUCUGCGUGUCCCUUAUACCUGGGGCAACACCCGUGCUACAAUGGCCGGUACAGAGGGCAGCGAACCCGCGAGGGGGAGCCAAUCCCAAAAAACCGGUCUCAGUUCGGAUUGAAGUCUGCAACUCGACUUCAUGAAGUUGGAAUCGCUAGUAACCGUGAAUCAGCUACGUCACGGUGAAUAUGUUCCUGGGUCUUGUACUCACCGCCCGUCAACUCAUGAAAGGCAGGGGCGCCCGAAGGACGGUUACUCUUCGGAGGCCGUACCACGGUGAAACUGCUGAUUGGGAGU